UACGAAGGGGGCUAGCGUUGCUCGGAAUCACUGGGCGUAAAGGGUGCGUAGGCGGGGCUUUAAGUCAGGGGGGAAAUCCUGGAGCUCAACUCCAGAACUGCCUUUGAUACUGAAGAUCUUGAGUUCGGGAGAGGUGAGUGGAACUGCGAGUGUAGAGGUGAAAUUCGUAGAUAUUCGCAAGAACACCAGUGGCGAAGGCGGCUCACUGGGCCGGUACUGACGCUGAGGUGCGAAAGCGUGGGGAGCAAACAGG
RNAcentral lists this ribosomal RNA (253 nucleotides) under uncultured bacterium. Its description in RNAcentral is "partial 16S ribosomal RNA". It matches the Rfam family "Bacterial small subunit ribosomal RNA", at positions 524 to 776 of the family's 1533-position model. The record is from RNAcentral.